Molecule: ribosomal RNA, 301 nt
Filed under: uncultured bacterium
Lineage: Bacteria
Description: partial 16S ribosomal RNA
Rfam family: Bacterial small subunit ribosomal RNA
Source: RNAcentral
CAGCCGCCACGGUAAUGCGUAGGGUGCAAGCGUUAAUCGGAAUUACUGGGCGUAAAGCGUGCGCAGGCGGUUCGCUAAGACAGAUGUGAAAUCCCCGGGCUUAACCUGGGAACUGCAUUUGUGACUGCACAGCUAGAGUAUGGCAGAGGGGGGUGGAAUUCCACGUGUAGCAGUGAAAUGCGUAGAGAUGUGGAGGAAUACCGAUGGCGAAGGCAGCCCCCUGGCCAAUACUGACGCUCAUGCACGAAAGCGUGGGGAGCAAACAGGAUUAGAUACCCCGGUAGUCCCUGUCUCUUAUACA